This 305-nucleotide ribosomal RNA is filed under the name uncultured bacterium. RNAcentral's name for it is "partial 16S ribosomal RNA". It matches the Rfam family "Bacterial small subunit ribosomal RNA", at positions 335 to 658 of the family's 1533-position model. The record is from RNAcentral.
GGCCUACGGGGCGCAGCAGUGGGGGAUAUUGCACAAUGGGGGAAACCCUGAUGCAGCGACGCCGCGUGGGUGAAGAAGCGCCUCGGCGCGUAAAGCCCUGUCAGCAGGGAAGAAAAUGACGGUACCUGAAGAAGAAGCCCCGGCUAACUACGUGCCAGCAGCCGCGGUAAUACGUAGGGGGCAAGCGUUAUCCGGAUUUACUGGGUGUAAAGGGGGCGCAGACGGCGAUGCAAGCCAGGAGUGAAAGCCCGGGGCCCAACCCCGGGACUGCUCUUGGAGCUGCGGGGCUAGAGUGCAGGGGGGGG